GGGGUUGUAGCUUAGUGGUAGAGCAUUUGCCUAACAUAUAUGAGGCACUGGGUUCAAUUCCUAGCAGCACGU
Molecule: transfer RNA, 72 nt
Filed under: Urocitellus parryii (Arctic ground squirrel)
Lineage: Eukaryota; Metazoa; Chordata; Mammalia; Rodentia; Sciuridae
Also listed under: 1 other name
Description: Spermophilus parryii (Arctic ground squirrel) tRNA
Rfam family: tRNA
About the family: Transfer RNA (tRNA) molecules are approximately 80 nucleotides in length. Their secondary structure includes four short double-helical elements and three loops (D, anti-codon, and T loops). Further hydrogen bonds mediate the characteristic L-shaped molecular structure. tRNAs have two regions of fundamental functional importance: the anti-codon, which is responsible for specific mRNA codon recognition, and the 3' end, to which the tRNAs corresponding amino acid is attached (by aminoacyl-tRNA synthetases). tRNAs cope with the degeneracy of the genetic code in two manners: having more than one tRNA (with a specific anti-codon) for a particular amino acid; and 'wobble' base-pairing, i.e. permitting non-standard base-pairing at the 3rd anti-codon position.
Source: Rfam by way of RNAcentral